GACGAACGCUGGCGGCGUGCUUAACACAUGCAAGUCGAACGAUGAUGCUGGAGCUUGCUCCAGUUGAUUAGUGGCGAACGGGUGAGUAACACGUGAGCAAUCUGCCCUUGACUCUGGGAUAACUGCGGGAAACUGUAGCUAAUACCGCAUACUUUCACCGGAAGGCACCUUCUGGUGAUGAAAGAAUUUCGGUCAGGGCUGAGCUCGGGGCCUAUCAGCUUGUUGGUGAGGUAACGGCUCACCAAGGCGACGACGGGUAACCGGCCGGCGAGGGUGGCCGGUCACACUGGGACUGAGACACGGCGCAGACUCCUACGGGAGGCAGCAGUGGGGAAUAGUGCGCAAUGGGCGCAAGCCUGAUGCAGCAACGCCGCGUGAGGGAUGAAGGCCUUCGGGUUGUAAACCUCUUUUAGCAGGGAAGAAGCGAAAGUGACGGUACCUGCAGAAAAAGCACCGGCUAACUACGUGCCAGCAGCCGCGGUAA
This 484-nucleotide ribosomal RNA is filed under the name uncultured bacterium. RNAcentral describes it as "partial 16S ribosomal RNA". It matches the Rfam family "Bacterial small subunit ribosomal RNA", at positions 28 to 523 of the family's 1533-position model. The record is from RNAcentral.